This 538-nucleotide ribosomal RNA is filed under the name uncultured bacterium. RNAcentral's name for it is "bacterial SSU rRNA". It matches the Rfam family "Bacterial small subunit ribosomal RNA", at positions 355 to 895 of the family's 1533-position model. The record is from RNAcentral.
UGAGGAAUAUUGGUCAAUGGGCGAGAGCCUGAACCAGCCAAGUAGCGUGCAGGAUGACGGCCCUAUGGGUUGUAAACUGCUUUUGUAUGGGGAUAAAGUCAGUCACGUGUGAUUGUUUGCAGGUACCAUACGAAUAAGGACCGGCUAAUUCCGUGCCAGCAGCCGCGGUAAUACGGAAGGUCCGGGCGUUAUCCGGAUUUAUUGGGUUUAAAGGGAGCGUAGGCUGGAGAUUAAGUGUGUUGUGAAAUGUAGACGCUCAACGUCUGACUUGCAGCGCAUACUGGUUUCCUUGAGUACGCACAACGUUGGCGGAAUUCGUCGUGUAGCGGUGAAAUGCUUAGAUAUGACGAAGAACUCCGAUUGCGAAGGCAGCUGACGGGAGCGCAACUGACGCUGAAGCUCGAAGGUGCGGGUAUCGAACAGGAUUAGAUACCCUGGUAGUCCGCACAGUAAACGAUGGAUGCCCGCUGUUGGUACGUGGUAUCAGCGGCUAAGCGAAAGCAUUAAGCAUCCCACCUGGGGAGUACGCCGGCACGGU